GUUGAACGCUGGCGGAAUGCUUUACACAUGCAAGUCGAGCGGCAGCGCGGGGCAACCUGGCGGCGAGCGGCGAACGGGUGAGUAAUGCAUCGGAACGUACCCCGUCGUGGGGGAUAACUACCCGAAAGGGUAGCUAAUACCGCAUACGACCUGAGGGUGAAAGCGGGGGACCGAAAGGCCUCGCGCGAUGGGAGCGGCCGAUGCCGGAUUAGCUAGUUGGUAGGGUAAAGGCCUACCAAGGCGACGAUCCGUAGCUGGUCUGAGAGGACGACCAGCCACACUGGAACUGAGACACGGUCCAGACUCCUACGGGAGGCAGCAGUGGGGAAUUUUGGACAAUGGGCGCAAGCCUGAUCCAGCCAUGCCGCGUGAGUGAAGAAGGCCUUCGGGUUGUAAAGCUCUUUCGGCCGGGAAGAAAUCGCACAGGUUAAUACCCUGUGUGGAUGACGGUACCGGAAUAAGAAGCACCGGCUAACUACGUGCCAGCAGCCGGGCAAAGUCGAUAUCG
This 508-nucleotide ribosomal RNA is filed under the name uncultured bacterium. RNAcentral describes it as "bacterial SSU rRNA". It matches the Rfam family "Bacterial small subunit ribosomal RNA", at positions 28 to 532 of the family's 1533-position model. The record is from RNAcentral.